GCGGUAAUACUGCGCCAACCUGCCUUCCAAGCAGGCUGUCGCGGGUUCGAGCCCCGUCUUCCGCU
Molecule: transfer RNA, 65 nt
Filed under: Ktedonosporobacter rubrisoli
Lineage: Bacteria; Bacillati; Chloroflexota; Ktedonobacteria; Ktedonobacterales; Ktedonosporobacteraceae
Rfam family: tRNA
About the family: Transfer RNA (tRNA) molecules are approximately 80 nucleotides in length.
Source: Rfam by way of RNAcentral